RNAcentral lists this transfer RNA (91 nucleotides) under Alphaproteobacteria bacterium. Its description in RNAcentral is "tRNA-Ser". It matches the Rfam family "tRNA". Rfam says of the family: Transfer RNA (tRNA) molecules are approximately 80 nucleotides in length. Their secondary structure includes four short double-helical elements and three loops (D, anti-codon, and T loops). Lineage: Bacteria; Pseudomonadati; Pseudomonadota; Alphaproteobacteria. RNAcentral also lists the same sequence under 2 other names. The record is from RNAcentral.
GGAGAGAUGGCCGAGUGGCUUAAGGCGCACGCCUGGAAAGUGUGUAUACGUUAAUAGCGUAUCGAGGGUUCGAAUCCCUCUCUCUCCGCCA